GUGACGGUAUCUCAAUUGGUAGAGUAGUGGGACUGUACCUCACGUUCCAGGUUUAAGUCCUGACCGCUGCC
Non-coding RNA from Phthorimaea operculella (potato tuberworm), 71 nucleotides. Lineage: Eukaryota; Metazoa; Arthropoda; Insecta; Lepidoptera; Gelechiidae. The record is from the annotation of a GenBank genome assembly.